GCACACCCCCGAGGCUGGCACGCACACCGGUCUCCUAGGGGACUGGCGCCUGGCCCUGCUUUUCAUCCUCUCAGGAGAUCACGUGUGGACACUGAGGCCCUUCCUCGAGCUCUUUAACCAAACCCAACCUCCCCAAUUCGCCGCCUUCCCCGCUCCCACAACCACACGUUCCCGUGUGAGGGCUUAUUGCCUCCAGCCAGCCAGCGUCCUUCGCCCCCACAUUCACGAGGUUUGGAGCCGGCCUCACCCGCGGAGGCGGACACCGCCCACCCGCGCGUGCGCACUACGCAGUCAUCCUGCGACCUCCAGAAUCCACCGGGGUGCAGCGAGGCUGUGGAAAGUCCCACCCAGAACGUGAGGUGAAGAAGGCUUGGGCUGCGCUGGUUCUGCUCUGUCCGGGUCGGAGAUGAACUGACCCGGGAGAGCAGCGGAGGGAUGUUUCUUUUGGCCAACAGUGGGGACUCACCUGCACGUUUUGCGAAGAGGCCCACAGUCCUUUGCGUGGCGCUCGGACUACAUUUCCCAACGGCCCCUGCACGCCCUGGGGGCUGUUCCAUGCGGUGUUGCGCCUGCGUAGCCGGCGGGCUGGCAGUGAGACUGACUGCGUCGGGGUUGAGACUGGGUGGAUGAGGCUCACCCCGGCGGGGAGAAGGGACGAGGAGGGGCGGACAGCGGAAGGUCCGGGAGUGUCCGCCAUAAAGUCGUUUGAGGUGACCGUUGCGUAAUUGUGAGUCUGUGAGAGAAGAUGUGAAGUAUGGCCUCGUCCCGGUCAUCUGGGCGUGCGGGUCCCGGGUUUUGAUCGCGCGUUUGUGUAGUUUUAACUUCUAGUCAUGGCGAAUGAUCGCAGGAGAGCACAGACUGGACCCUGCUACGAUCUCUCUUGGAGUGGAUCAGACUGAUGAUCACCAACAACCAACUCAUUCCCGGAUAAGGAAGAAGAGAGUGUCACCUACUUCAGUGUGGUUUCAACCCUACUUCUGCAUCUUAAAGACACUGUAUGGUUUCAGCAGUAGUGCCCCUGUUCAUUAGUCCCCCUGAUGUUUUCAUUCCUCAUCUCAUCUUUUUCUUAGCAGCAUUCAAUGAAUCCUUCAUUCUAGAAACACUCUAUAUCUUUGGUUUUCAUGAGACCAUUCUCACCUUGUUUUGUCCUGUGACUUUUUUGAAAAAAACAAAAACAAAAAACCCUUUUUUUCUUUUUAAAUUCUGGUAAAAAACACAAUGAAAAUUUGCUAUCUUAACCAUGUUGAAAUGUGCAGUUAGUAAAGUACAUUCACAUUGUGGUGCAAGCCAUCACUACCAUCCAUCACUAGAACCCUUUUCAUCUUGCAGAUCUGAAACUCUACCCAUUAAACGACUUCCCAUCUUCCCAUCCCCACAGCUCCUAGCAACCAACAUUCUACUUUCUCUAUCAGUUUGACUACUCUAGGUACCUCAUAUGAGUAGAAUCAUACAGCAUUUAUCCUUCUCUGCCUGGCUUAUUUCACUUGUAUAAUGUCCUCAAGGUUCAUUCAUGUUGUAGCAUGCAUCAGAACUUCCUCCCCUUUUAAAGGCUGGAUAAUAUUUCAUGGUAUGUUUAGAUCACAUUCUGUUUAUCCAUUCAUCCAUCAGUGAACACUUGUGCUCCUUCCAACUUUGGGCUGUUGGGUGUCCUGCCACUGUUGCUCCUAGUGCUCAAUCUCGUUUAUUCCCUCCUAAUCAAGUGUACAACGUUGGACACUGUGCAGGAUGAUGCCACUUCAUCUUGGAUGCUAAUCUGCCAUGUUGACUUCUGAUUAACCCCAGGCCCAGGAAUGCCUCAAGAUUUCUACUUUACUUACUGUUGCUUGUGUAAGCCAAGACAACCUUGAUGUUAUCAUAAACAUGUACUUACCUAAGUCCUGUCCUUUGGCAAAUUAUGGGCUAUGAGACACAGCAUUCUUGCCUUUCCCUGAGGGGUCAAUUUCAGCGAUCCUACACAUUCCUUCUGAAGCACUUAUGCUCUUUCUAUAUGGUAUGUAAGCUCUCGGUCUGGGGAGUAACAGUGCAGAGAUCUACCUGUCUUGUUGCCACAUGUUUCUAAACUUUCCAAUAAAUCACCUUCUACUGACAAACUGGA
RNAcentral lists this long non-coding RNA (2095 nucleotides) under Homo sapiens (human). RNAcentral's name for it is "ZNF667 antisense RNA 1". Lineage: Eukaryota; Metazoa; Chordata; Mammalia; Primates; Hominidae. The record is from RNAcentral.